RNAcentral lists this ribosomal RNA (829 nucleotides) under Rossellomorea aquimaris. Its description in RNAcentral is "bacterial SSU rRNA". Lineage: Bacteria; Bacillati; Bacillota; Bacilli; Caryophanales; Bacillaceae. The record is from RNAcentral.
GUCAGCGGCGGACRGGUGAGUAACACGUGGGUAACCUGCCUGUAAGACUGGGAUAACUCCGGGAAACCGGGGCUAAUACCGGAUAACUCAUUUCCUCGCAUGAGGAAAUGUUGAAAGGUGGCUUUUAGCUAUCACUUACAGAUGGACCCGCGGCGCAUUAGCUAGUUGGUGAGGUAAUGGCUCACCAAGGCGACRAUGCGUAGCCGACCUGAGAGGGUGAUCGGCCACACUGGGACUGAGACACGGCCCARACUCCUACGGGAGGCAGCAGUAGGGAAUCUUCCGCAAUGGACGAAAGUCUGACGGAGCAACGCCGCGUGAGUGAUGAAGGUUUUCGGAUCGUAAAGCUCUGUUGUUAGGGAAGAACAAGUACCGUUCGAAUAGGGCGGUACCUUGACGGUACCUAACCAGAAAGCCACGGCUAACUACGUGCCAGCAGCCGCGGUAAUACGUAGGUGGCAAGCGUUGUCCGGAAUUAUUGGGCGUAAAGCGCGCGCAGGUGGUUCCUUAAGUCUGAUGUGAAAGCCCACGGCUCAACCGUGGAGGGUCAUUGGAAACUGGGGAACUUGAGUGCAGAAGAGGAAAGUGGAAUUCCAAGUGUAGCGGUGAAAUGCGUAGAUAUUUGGAGGAACACCAGUGGCGAAGGCGACUUUCUGGUCUGUAACUGACACUGAGGCGCGAAAGCGUGGGGAGCAAACAGGAUUAGAUACCCUGGUAGUCCACGCCGUAAACGAUGAGUGCUAAGUGUUAGGGGGUUUCCGCCCCUUAGUGCUGCAGCUAACGCAUUAAGCACUCCGCCUGGGGAGUACGGUCGCAAGACUGAAACUCA